Pseudophryne corroboree (corroboree frog) is the source of this 1366-nucleotide long non-coding RNA. RefSeq lists it as uncharacterized. The transcript is spliced from 5 exons. The record is from RefSeq and is a predicted model, not a curated record. NCBI's taxonomy places the organism in Eukaryota, Metazoa, Chordata, Amphibia, Anura, Myobatrachidae.
UUGACAUCACCUAUCACCAUGGAAACACAGAAACACAUGAGUAUUUAAAAGUGCAGCAGGUUAUAUCUUUAAUAGUUUCAGUAAACAAGUAAAACUUUACAUAUCAAGGUCACUAAGGCUGAUCUAUGUUUAUGCAGUCCCUUUCUCGCACAGAUAGCAGAAGAGCUGUAUCAUUGCACGGGAACACAUGCAGGAACUCCAGCUCUUUUAUUGCAGCUAUAAAGGAAACAAGUGUCAAAGGGUCCACACCAUGGGUGCAGGGUCACACAUACUUAAGUCAUGAUAUAUGGACAGGAGCAUAAAUAAGAAGGCACAGUCUAUAAGGAAGAAGUCAGCCUUUCCAAGAGUCAUAACAAAUUGUUUAUAAUAGAUAAUCCACUUCAAGAUCUGAACAAUGUACUGCUAUGAAGGACAGAACUGCCACCCAGUGGAACCAAAGAAUGUGCCAGUCUCAUACAGCUAUAUCACUGGAUUUCAAACUCUUCUUAUUCUCACACCUGCUGAACUGGUUAUAUUUUUGGGGAAGAAGUCAGCCUUUCCAAGAGUCAUAACAAAUUGUUUGUAAUAGAUAAUCCACUUCAAGAUCUGAACAAUGUACUGCUAUGAAGGACAGAACUGCCACCCAGUGGAACCAAAGAACGUGCCAGUCUCAUACAGCUAUAUCACUGGAUUUCAAACUCUUCUUAUUCUCACACCUGCUGAACUGGUUAUAUUUUUGGGGUAGCAGAUAUAUUCUUUAUUCUUUUCAAGAUACAAAUGAAUAGAAAAUGUACAGCACACAUGUAUUAUAUCAGUUGCAGGGCAGAUAACUAUGGCCCAAAUGUAUUAAGCCUUAACAAGAGAUAAAGUGGCCACGGAUAGAGUGAUAAAUGACCAGCCAACCAGCUUCCUAACUGUCAUGUCACAGGCUGUGUUUGAAAAAUGACAGUUAGGAGCUGAUUGGCUGGUCAGUUAUCUCUCUUUAUCCGUCUCCACUUUAUCUCUUGUUAAGGCUUAAUGGGUGGAAUUCAAUUGUUUGAAAAGUCGGUUGGGUGUCUGUUUUUUCUAUUAGAUAGGAAAAAACAUACUCCCAACCGACUUUUCAAGCAAUUGAUUACCCCCCCCCCCCCAUGUAUUUGUCCCUAUAUUACAGAAAAAAAGUAUGAAGCUCUUGCCUCAGAUUCUCACUAUUUCAUAUUUCUAGUUACCAACAACAAGAUCAUUACCAUAUUGAUGCCUGUAAUCCUCAAUGCUUUAUCACCAGCAAUCUAGAAAUAGACUCGUGUAUCCCCUCUAGAGACUGUAAUCAUCCCUGUGGAAUCGGUUUAUGGUCCUCACUAUGUUUGUGUCCCAUGACCUUAUUGAAUGUUUUUACCUAUAGUAUAGC